GAAAAACUGCAUAAACCUGUCAGACUUGUCUAACCAGUUGACAAUUAGACAUGGGAAGCAUAUUACAAGGAAAAGAUGUGAAAGAUGAAGAAAGACAGACUCUAGACCAGGAAUUAAGGUCAGACUGAAAAGAAAUCCACACAGGCUUACACUUCCUUCUAUGCUGCUGGGAAAUGUACGCUCACUGGAGAGCAAGAUGUUCUAUUUAAGGAUGGAUCUUUCAGCACAAUCUAAGAAACAGUCAAAGGGAAUAAAACUGUGAUCGUUUGCUUUAGAAAUGUAAUAAAGAAAAUAAUGAAGAAAAAGGGCACAUUUCAUUUGGCGGAAGUCCUGUCUGUUCAUGGAUUGCAGUCGCACAAUUGGAUACUUGUCUACCAGGUACCUCCCAUGACUGCAGGUCGAGUUUGAAUGAGUGGAGGUGCUUGAAUGCGAAAACAUUAAUAACCUGAUACAGAGAAAAUUAAAAAGAACCAGGGAUCAUCCUCUCACACUUUGGCUUGUUCACUGUGGAUCAGCAGUAGUGGGAAUCGAAGUCAGAUUGAUCCAUCAUCUAUCCAAAACAGGCGGUUAUAGCUCUACUUCCAGUUUCCAUGCAAAGACUAUAAUUUCCACAGAGUCAGUAAAGCUUGGUGUCCUUGCCUGUGUUUCUGAAAUGUUUUACUUGCAACUAGUGACAUCCAGGCAAAACUAAUUAUUUCUGAUUCAAAAUUUGCACAUUUUUAGUUUAUUUAAGCAAACUGAUGUGUUUUCUUGAAUUGUUUGUGCAAUGAACUGUUUAUUUCACCUGAAAAAGUGCAUUUACUCACAGUGUUGUUACUGUUUGACUGUUUGCCUUGAAAUUAUCUUCUAAAACUGCAGUCUAGCUAGAUAUUGCAACAGCAUAAAACUCCUCCUUAAUCCCAAAAAAAAAAACAACCUAGUCAUAUUUGGCCCUGGUAGACCACCUCAGCAAUGCAAUGAUCUAACUAUAGUCUCUAAAGAUAACAUCACAAUCACUCCAACUACACACACAAAACUGCUAGGGGUAAUUAUUGAGAACAACCUCAGAUAUGACCUUCACACAGCCCAAACAAUCAAGAAAGUAAACAAAAAUCUGGGUCUCCUUUAUAGAAGCAAACAAUUCACGACUAAGGAGAGCAAAUCCACAACUGCAAGGACUCAUCUCUUAUCCGUCCUACUGUAUGUCACCCCUGUAAUGACAAAUCUUCGCCACUCCGAACUCACCAAAAUGGAAUCUUGUUACAAGAUUGCCAAUUUUGCUACUGAGACCUCUCAUAGAUCCCAUCACUGUCUUGCCCUAAAGCAACUCAACUGGCUUGAGCUGCCCCAACAAAUGAUACUACAGCAACUCUAUACAACACACAGGCUGUACUACCUGCCCAACAAAAUUCCAUCACUACAGCAACUAAUUCAACCCUAUACAACCACCAGAACCUUAAGAUCCAGUAGCCAAAACCUUUUAAAUAUCAAACAUAAAAAUCAUGCAGUAAGUCUCUCUUUGCCUGCACCAUAGCCAAAGUAUGGAAUCAACUCCCAAAUCACAUCACUGCUACAAGUUCUCCCCUCCAAUUUAAAAACCUCCUCAAAAGCCACUUUACAAACAACUGGCUCUGCUCCUGUGUCUCCCCAGGUUAAACCAACCCACUGCACUGUUGCUAAAUGUGGGACUGCAUCUGUUGAUAAUCACCUACCUCUAGUUAUGCAAGUUUGAACUGCUUACUCCAAGCACACAGACUUUUCUUAAUGUACUCCUACUAAAACCUUUUGUUCCUUUUCUUUCAGAUACCAUGUGACUUCUAAUCUGUCAAACUACUGGAUACACAACAUACAUCCACCACUGCUAGAUAAAACUCUUGUACUACACUCAAUCUCUCAAUGGACUGCAGAUUUACCUACUGCCAGUAGUUGUAAAAUUCUACCAACAAUAUACUGAAAUGACUCUGAAACAAACUUGUGUACAGUCCUAACAGCAAGAAGUUGAUAUCUGACAUUGUACUGCUUAUUAACCAAAUAACAAAAAUGUAAAACUCUGCCUACCACAUGCUGAAAUGAGUCUAUAAUAUACCUGUAUAUUGUACUGUUAAAAUGAAGUUAAUAUUUGACUAAUGCAUGCUGUUUGUAUUGUAUUACUAUUGCAUGCUGAUUGUAUUAGAUGUAAUGAAAUCCUAACAUGCACUGUAUCUGAAGCUUUA
Long non-coding RNA from Protopterus annectens (West African lungfish), 2192 nucleotides. RefSeq lists it as uncharacterized. Lineage: Eukaryota; Metazoa; Chordata; Ceratodontiformes; Protopteridae. The record is from RefSeq and is a predicted model, not a curated record. The transcript is spliced from 3 exons.